This 463-nucleotide long non-coding RNA is filed under the name Linum usitatissimum (flax). RNAcentral's name for it is "long non-coding RNA (LUSI_LNC002576)". Lineage: Eukaryota; Viridiplantae; Streptophyta; Magnoliopsida; Malpighiales; Linaceae. The record is from RNAcentral.
ACGAAUCAAAAAACUAUUAAUUGAUUUAUUUAGUUUGUAAAUAUUAAAAUAAAAGAAAAAAUUCUCAAAUCAACACAGAACACACAAUAUCUAGUAUAUAUAUCAUAGCUAGAAUUAGCUAACUGAUGGAGUUAUGGACCCUAUAAUCAUAAUCGAUCAUCAUUCAUCACCAUGAUGUUUAAGCAGCUGGGGCAAAAUCAUAAUCUCCACCACCAUCAUCGUCGUCAUCUCCAUCGUCGCCUUCAUUACCACACGAUUGGGCAGCAAAAACAGUGCCGGCGUAAUGAUUGCGGCACCGAGCUUGGUUGUAACAAUCUCCAUCCGCAUGCUGCAACAUCAUAACCAACAUGACAAUGUUCAACAGAGCACACAUAUUGAAGAAGAAGAAGAAGAAGAAACUGCGCUAAGAAUGGGUGAAUAUACUGUGUUUUCUUUGCUUUGAGGUUGUUGUAUGAUUGCGGGU